This 468-nucleotide ribosomal RNA is filed under the name uncultured bacterium. RNAcentral's name for it is "partial 16S ribosomal RNA". It matches the Rfam family "Bacterial small subunit ribosomal RNA", at positions 28 to 507 of the family's 1533-position model. The record is from RNAcentral.
GACGAACGCUGGCGGCGUGCUUAACACAUGCAAGUCGAACGGAAAGGCCCUGCUUUUGUGGGGUGCUCGAGUGGCGAACGGGUGAGUAACACGUGAGUAACCUGCCCCUGACUUUGGGAUAACUUCAGGAAACUUGGGCUAAUACCGGAUAGGAGCUCCUGCUGCAUGGUGGGGGUUGGAAAGUUUCGGCGGUUGGGGAUGGACUCGCGGCUUAUCAGCUUGUUGGUGGGGUAGUGGCUUACCAAGGCUUUGACGGGUAGCCGGCCUGAGAGGGUGACCGGCCACAUUGGGACUGAGAUACGGCCCAGACUCCUACGGGAGGCAGCAGUGGGGAAUAUUGCACAAUGGGCGGAAGCCUGAUGCAGCAACGCCGCGUGCGGGAUGACGGCCUUCGGGUUGUAAACCGCUUUCGCCUGUGACGAAGCGUGAGUGACGGUAAUGGGUAAAGAAGCACCGGCUAACUACGUG